GCCCAACGCUUACUCAACAUGUUUGGCUUUUUGCAACAGAGGUAUCUUUUCUUUUCUCCAGGUAACCGAACGGACCCACAACAAAUUUUAGCAUUGCCACAUCCUUCCAGCCCCAGAUUACUGUUUCUACAUCUAAACAUAUUAUGAGAAAGCGAAAAGGAUAUCGCAAAGGGUAUCGGCAAGCCAACAAACAUUUUGAAAAUCACAUGAAGACCAUGUCUUCAAAGUAAUAUUGAGAGAAAAAAGCCUGAGAUCAGGCUGGCAUGCUUCUCCCAAUUCAACUUAUUGCAAGUUUUUAAUUUCUAAGCAUUGAAACUUAAACUUAAUUUCCUGUUUUUUUCAGGUCAAAUUGUUGCGGAAUCCGACUGCGAUGAGGAACGGAGUGAUUAUGAUGAAGAAAUGGCGUUGACGAAAAUAAUUUGAAUUCAUGCAACACACGCAAAGAAGCUCAUUGUUCUAUGCCAGAGUUCCAACAAAUUUUGGACUCCACCAUCCCUAUUGACAGAGCCGUAAGUGCUUCCUAUGAAAGCUUAUUCAUUCUUUUAAAUAACAUGUACCUAUAAAUGAUGGCAUUUCAAACCCUUUAUUAUUGUUUCACUCUCUUAAAGGCAACCUAGGUACAAACAUUACCCAUUGUUAUAACUUUUUAUAGCCUCUUGCUCACAAAAUGUUUAGUAAAUCUUCCAAGAAGUAGCACUUGCUACCUAAAGUUUCCAUGAAAGAAAUAUUAUUAAAUGUGACAAGAAAUCUGGAACAAUUUAAUUGAAGAAACAUGGUUCUUUCCUUUAAUAAGACUACAUCACGCUUCAGGUUUCUAUGUUUUGCUUUCCUAACUUGCACCCUCAAUAACAUGUAUCAUCUUGUCUUUCUGCAGAAUGCGGGUGGAGCAGAAGUACAGAUGCAAAACAGUGGGUCUGAGGCAGAAGAUGAAUUUGAGGAUUAUAUAAUAGAAGUAAUUGAAGAUUGUGGGGACACAAGCUCUAUAUCUGUUGCUCCUUCAGAAACAUUAAACCAUGGUCAGUCACUCGAAUCGCCUUCUACGUCUAAGUCUCAAGGCUCCUCGAAUCCUGGAAGUAGUAAGAAAUCUCCCGAUGCUGAAGAUUCAAGUAUCUCAAAGAAAGUGGAUUGGUCCCAUUACAAUGUUCCAGCAUUAAGAAGUAAAAAAUCAGAUGCUCUGACACUGAAGAAAGGUAAGAAGAGGAAGCUGUACGGCAAAACCAUACAGGAAAAAUAUGAGCAAGACAGGCAAGUCCUCAUCGAGACUCAGAGAGAUUAUUAUAUCACGCUACAAAAGCAAAACAUUGAAAAGCAUAAUAAAGAAAUGGAGCUGAAGAAUUUGGAGGCUGACUACUGGUGUGCGAGGAAAGCAGCAGAGGAAAGGUACUGGUUACAGAAAAUCGAUAGAGAAGAGAAAGAAGCUGCAUUGAGAAUGAAAUUAGUCGAGGAGGAGUUGAAAGUAAUGUCAAGGGGAACAUCCAGCUCAAAUGAUUAUAAUGGCAAUACUGAUUUUUAAAUCCUAUCAGACUUUGCAGUAUGUACAUACUUGCACUGAGAAACGCUUCUUCAUGUGCCUUGUGCCUCUGUAUGGAGCUAUGAUUUUUCCCCACACUGGGGUGCUUCAAUUCUUGAAGUGUAUAAAGUUUCGUUUUUUUACGUUCUCUGAAGAAGUCCUGUUAUGUGCCAUUGAGCUAUGUACAAAUUUGUGUCGGCCAAUUUCGAUGCAAGUUUGCUUGUUGAAAAUUCAAAUGACCUUCUUUUCAUUUUAGGAAGAAAUGCUAAGGAUUAAUUAUGAGGAUAAAAUAGUUUAGGCAUCAUUUUUUUAAAUAGCCUUUAUGCUCCUAAUUACCAGUAUUUAAUUUGUAUUCCUUCCAGUAUAGUCUCAAGAGUUGAUCGCUAACUAAUUAAUUGUAUAUUCUUCAUUACCUCAGAUCAAAUUCUUAAAUUAUCAAUGCUACCUUGUGUUCUUAGUUUUUGUUUUCUUUAAUCUUUUUUAAUUUUAUGUUUGUUAUGUACGUCAACUAAGAGAUUUUUUUUAUUUCCUUUUUUCGAAUGUGUCUAAGUAAUAGAACGAGGGGUCUAAAACCACAUUGAGCUCUCCUUUGCAUACAUUCUCUCAAGUGGAAGCCAGGUUCCUUGACACUGUACAAGAUACAUUUACCGAAAGCUCAUUCUAGUGCCCUUAGUUCUUAGAUUUUUCUUUCCUCUAAUAUGUUGCGUUACCUUGAUUUAAUUGAUAUGAAAUUGAUUUAAUUGUUGAAAUGUUUAGCGAGUCCUUCAGCCCCUUUGUUAUCUACAUUGAGUAGUUGAAGAAAGGCCCUGAAAUUGGCUUGAGCUACUCUUUGGGUUGGUGCCCUUGAGCUAAUUCCAGGCCCUUCACAUUUUGCCAGACAUUUUGCCAAAGCUUAUUUCGAAGCUCCUAAUUUUUGAACUCCUUUAAUUUUUUGGGCAAUCAUGGCGUCUGAAAGAAAGCAGGAACUGCAUUGCAAAGCUGGUUUCAUUAUGCAGCUUCAUUUCUCUUCCAAAAGAAGAUUCACGUGCUUAUAAUCUUAUUCUUAAUAUUUUAACUGAGAAUCUUAUAAUUACCUAUUCCAAAUUGUCAUUGAGAAUAGAGACCCAUCUUUUGCCUCAUAGUUACCAUUUAAAACUAUGUGCAGUAAUUAAACCCUUGCAAAAUUGCUGUGUGUUCCAUUCUCUCUGCCUGAAGACUGCCGAAUAGGUUUGAUGCAAUUUGUACAAGACUUCAUUUUUUCCGUUAAUGAUUUUCCUUCUUCGUUUAUGUUUGUGGAAGUGUUAAUCUACUUAAGCAGAGGAAAAAGUCUAAUCUUUAAAACUAUUUUGCAAUUUAUUUCCUAAGUCUGAUGAAUUUAGUCAUAUAAAUUUUGCUAACUAAUUUUAAUUUUAUUUUUUGCCUUCUUGUGAAUUUUCCUCAUUAGAUGCAGUCUGAACCAUUCUCAGUAUUGAGAUAAAAGCUGAGUCUGAUGAAUUUAGUCGAAAAAUGUUGGUACUAAUUUUAAUUAUAUUUUUUGGAGGCUUAUUGAGAUGAUGAAUUUAGUCUUAUAAAUUUUGCUACUACUUUUAAUUUUAUUUUUAGGGAGACUGAAGUAUUGAGAUAAAACUGAGUCUGAUGAAUAUACCUAGUCUUAUAAAUUGUGCAACUACUUUUGAUUUUACUACUUUACUUUUCGUAGAUUUUCCUUGUCACAUACAGUCUGAUCCAUUCUCAGUAUUGAGAUACAGUCAUAGAAGUUUGCUUGUAAAUACGUUUAUUUUGUUGUUGUUCUUGUCCGCCAUACUUUGUACUUUACUUGCUUCAUCUUUGUAUUAUCUAAUAUGU
Molecule: long non-coding RNA, 3334 nt
Filed under: Bemisia tabaci
Lineage: Eukaryota; Metazoa; Arthropoda; Insecta; Hemiptera; Aleyrodidae
Description: lncRNA ENSASIAIIG009146
Source: RNAcentral